AGCGAACGCUGGCGGCAGGCCUAACACAUGCAAGUCGAACGAACUCUUCGGAGUUAGUGGCGGACGGGUGAGUAACACGUGGGAACGUGCCUUUUGGUUCGGAAUAACUCAGGGAAACUUGUGCUAAUACCGAAUGUGCCCUUCGGGGGAAAGAUCUAUCGCCAUUGGAGCGGCCCGCGUCUGAUUAGCUAGUUGGUGAGGUAACGGCUCACCAAGGCGACGAUCAGUAGCUGGUCUGAGAGGAUGACCAGCCACACUGGGACUGAGACACGGCCCAGACUCCUACGGGAGGCAGCAGUGGGGAAUCUUGCGCAAUGGGCGAAAGCCUGACGCAGCCAUGCCGCGUGAAUGAUGAAGGUCUUAGGAUUGUAAAAUUCUUUCACCGGGGACGAUAAUGACGGUACCCGGAGAAGAAGCCCCGGCUAACUUCGUG
RNAcentral lists this ribosomal RNA (433 nucleotides) under uncultured bacterium. RNAcentral's name for it is "partial 16S ribosomal RNA". It matches the Rfam family "Bacterial small subunit ribosomal RNA", at positions 29 to 507 of the family's 1533-position model. The record is from RNAcentral.